AGAGUUUGAUCAUGGCUCAGGAUGAACGCUAGCGGCAGGCUUAAUACAUGCAAGUCGAGGGGCAGCACAGGUAGCAAUACUGGGUGGCGACCGGCAAACGGGUGCGGAACACGUACGCAACCUUCCUUUAAGUGGAGAAUAGCCCAGGGAAACUUGGAUUAAUACUCCGUAAGACAAUGGAGUGGCAUCACUCAGUUGUUAAAGUUACGACGCUUAAAGAUGGGCGUGCGGCUGAUUAGGUAGUUGGCGGAGUAACAGCCCACCAAGCCAACGAUCAGUAACUGGUGUGAGAGCACGACCAGUCACACGGGCACUGAGACACGGGCCCGACUCCUACGGGAGGCAGCAGUAAGGAAUAUUGGUCAAUGGACGCAAGUCUGAACCAGCCAUGCCGCGUGGAGGAUGAAGGCCCUCUGGGUUGUAAACUUCUUUUAUUUGGGAAGAAACCUAUCCUUUCUAGGGUAGUUGACGGUACCAGAUGAAUAAGCACCGGCUAACUCCGUGCCAGCAGCCGCGGUAAUACGGAGGGUGCAAGCGUUAUCCGGAUUCACUGGGUUUAAAGGGUGCGUAGGUGGGCAGGUAAGUCAGUGGUGAAAUCUCCGGGCUUAACCCGGAAACUGCCGUUGAUACUAUCUGUCUUGAAUGUAGUGGAGGUGAGCGGAAUAUGUCAUGUAGCGGUGAAAUGCUUAGAUAUGACAUAGAACACCAAUUGCGAAGGCAGCUCGCUACACUACUAUUGACACUGAGGCACGAAAGCGUGGGGAUCAAACAGGAUUAGAUACCCUAGUAGUCC
Molecule: ribosomal RNA, 793 nt
Filed under: uncultured bacterium
Lineage: Bacteria
Description: bacterial SSU rRNA
Rfam family: Bacterial small subunit ribosomal RNA
Source: RNAcentral